UGGGGAAUUUUGCACAAUGUGGGAAACCCUGAUGCAGCGACGCCGCGUGAUUUAGAAGGCCUUCGGGUUGUAAAAAUCUUUUCUAUGGGAAGAAAAUGACAGUACCAUAGGAAUAAGGACCGGCUAAUUACGUGCCAGCAGCCGCGGUAAUACGUAAGGUCCGAGCGUUGUCCGGAAUCAUUGGGCGUAAAGGGUACGUAGGCGGGUAAGCAAGUUAGAAGUGAAAUCCUAUAGCUCAACUAUAGUAAGCUUUUAAAACUGCUCAUCUUGAGGUAUGGAAGGGAAAGUGGAAUUCCUAGUGUAGCGGUGAAAUGCGCAGAUAUUAGGAGGAAUACCGGUGGCGAAGGCGACUUUCUGGCCAUAACCUGACGCUGAGGUACGAAAGCGUGGGUAGCAAACAGG
Molecule: ribosomal RNA, 402 nt
Filed under: bacterium
Lineage: Bacteria
Description: partial 16S ribosomal RNA
Rfam family: Bacterial small subunit ribosomal RNA
Source: RNAcentral